GGAGACGUGGGUGAGUGGCUGAAACCAACGCUUUGCUAAAGCGUCAUACGGGAAACCGUAUCGAGGGUUCGAAUCCCUCCGUCUCCUCCA
RNAcentral lists this transfer RNA (90 nucleotides) under Sphingomonas xinjiangensis. Its description in RNAcentral is "tRNA-Ser". It matches the Rfam family "tRNA". From Rfam's summary of the family: Transfer RNA (tRNA) molecules are approximately 80 nucleotides in length. Their secondary structure includes four short double-helical elements and three loops (D, anti-codon, and T loops). Lineage: Bacteria; Pseudomonadati; Pseudomonadota; Alphaproteobacteria; Sphingomonadales; Sphingomonadaceae. RNAcentral also lists the same sequence under 3 other names. The record is from RNAcentral.